This 226-nucleotide ribosomal RNA is filed under the name uncultured bacterium. RNAcentral describes it as "partial 16S ribosomal RNA". It matches the Rfam family "Bacterial small subunit ribosomal RNA", at positions 1275 to 1500 of the family's 1533-position model. The record is from RNAcentral.
CAAAACUACGGUCUCAGUUCAGAUUGCAGGCUGCAACUCGCCUGCAUGAAGUUGGAAUUGCUAGUAAUCGCGAAUCAGAAUGUCGCGGUGAAUACGUUCCCGGGCCUUGUACACACCGCCCGUCACACCAUGAGAGUCGAUAACACCCGAAGCCUGUGAGCUAACCGUAAGGAGGCAGCAGUCGAAGGUAGGGUUGAUGAUUGGGGUGAAGUCGUAACAAGGUACC